Molecule: long non-coding RNA, 8317 nt
Filed under: Musa acuminata (dwarf banana)
Lineage: Eukaryota; Viridiplantae; Streptophyta; Magnoliopsida; Zingiberales; Musaceae
Description: long non-coding RNA (MACU_LNC004777)
Source: RNAcentral
UAUCAUCAUCAAUUUGUACAGUUAUCUGGCAGCUAGAAUGGAAUGAUGCUAAUGGUAAAUGACAAACUUCAAAUGAUGCUAAUGGGCAAACAGAAACCAAGGCCUCAAUAUCUAACAGACACAGCAUGAAAUCACUUGAUAACCAGGCAUCUAGUCAUUUCCAAUAAUAUCAUUUGUGAUUUAGAAGUUGUCAGGAUAUUGGCAAACUUCAUUUGAGACUGACAAAUUGCAGAGUAAAAGUUCCAAACUAGGAUCAGAUUUGAAACAAAUUAAGCUUCAUACCAUUUAUUAGGUUCAGGAUUGCAGCAGAACUUGUGUUAAGUGUUGACUGCAGAAGAGGACCUAUGACCAUUCCUGGAUUUAUCGUGACUAUAUCUAUGCCAUUCUCUUUAGAAAACUUCCAAGCAGCUUCCUCUGCCAAAGUCUUCGAGAGUACAUACCAUUGCUGGGGUAAUAUGAGAGAUCUUAGAAAACAUGCAUAAUAAAAAGUUGAAUUUUUUUAUUGAAGGCAUCUAUAAAGAAAAAAGAUUUGAGAUGUAAUAAAUGUAAAUCCAAAGAAAUUAACUAAUAACAAACAAAUAGAAGGUGCAACAAUACAGACACGGAAAUUGUUGGAUUUUUUUUUUUUGACAUGGACAUUGUUAUUUAUGAUAAUUCCAGUCGAAACAUAAAUAUGAAUAGAUUAGAGACUUACUGGGAGGUUUUAAGCAGGCCAGGUAUUGUCACUUCACUAAACGCACCAUGUUGCAGAAUUCAGAGUCUAAUUAUUUUUUGAGGCAAUAUAUUUGGCCAAAUUAGUAAAUCAUAAUACUAGAAACCUGAGGACAAUCAGUACUAGAUAUUAUGAUUUAAUAUCUUUUUAUUUCUUUCUCAUUCCCAACCCAGAGAAUCCACUGCCAAGGCUGAAACGGAGUAGCUUUCAGCACCACAUGGACCACAACCAGAGUACUGCUAUAUUACACUGCUAUACUACUCUGCUACACAUAAGUAUUUAGGUGUUUCUUUAUGACAGACCAUCAUCCAGAUAGAAUGGAUUUUAUUAAUUGGUAUUCAUUAUUUUCUUCUAGUGAUAAUUUACAUGCAGGACUGAUCUGAUCCUAGGAUGCUACAAUCCCUUCCAAGCAGAAACCAAGACUAUGAGGUGGUACUAUCUCUUUCAAACUAACGCCAAACCAUCAUCUUCACACUUGAACAGGACAUAAAAUCUCAGCCAGGAGAAAUCAAGCAUCAUCCUGAAGACCAAUUUAAGAUUGUAUCAUACAACUUUCAGUCUAGCUAGCAUGGACAUGCAAUCAGUCUUCAGUUAUUAUAACCCACAUAUAGCUGCCGUCAUAACUUCAACAGUAUGGUUCUCCAAUAUCAUCCAGCAGACUGUAUAUUGUAUUCAGAAGGUUACUAAAUAAACUUGUCUCACAAGCUCCGCAUAAUAUUGUGUACAUUAUCUGGUGUGUUGCGAAAACAUGACAGAAAGGUUUUCUAAAAUAAAGGAAUUUUUUGGUAAUAAAUUAAAAUUGUAAAAAGGUUGUGGCCAAGGAUUGAAACAUNNNNNNNNNNNNNNNNNNNNNNNNNNNNNNNNNNNNNNNNNNNNNNNNNNNNNNNNNNNNNNNNNNNNNNNNNNNNNNNNNNNNNNNNNNNNNNNNNNNNNNNNNNNNNNNNNNUAUAUAUAUAUAUAUAUAUAUAUAUAUAUAUAUAUAUAUAUAUAUAUAUAUAUAUAUAUAUAUAUAUAAUAUUUUAUUUAUAUAUCUAUUUAUUUAUAUAUUUAUAUAUAUAUAAUUUAAAAAAAAAAAGUGUGAUGUUGCCAGACGGGGCGACGUCACCGAGGCGACAUCGCAGGAAAAACGAGGUGACGUCGCUUUAUAUAUAUAUAUAUAUAUAUAGAGAGAGAGAGAGAGAGAGAGUCCGAUAGUGAGUAAUCCACGUACCGGUUUACUGUCGGAUCAAUACGUAUCGUCCGUACCGAGUGAUAUCAUUCAAAAUUGUAUAUCUUGGUUAUGACCGUAAAGUACAGUAACUUUCUAUAAAAAAAAAUAUAGGGAGCACUGAAAUAGAAUAUAGAUAAAUUAAAACCAAUGACAUGAUUGCAGCAGAAAAUAUUCUACAGAAGCAAUAAAACUAUUCAGUACAUACUGUCAGAUACCUUUUGCUGCUCGCAAACCUCGGGACUAGAAAACCAUGUCUCAUCAACAACUACAUCAGGAGUUGGUGGUUUACUAUUGUAUAAAACUGCAGCCAUUGAUGAUGUCACCACUACCUUUUUCACAGACCACUUCUUACAGGAUGCCAAAACAUUGAGUGUGCCCUUCACUGCUGGCUCAAUUAACUCAGCCUAAAAUAAAAGUAAAUAAAUCAGAUAAAGCUUGACAUCAUUUGCAAACUUAGAUCAAGAACCCCAUGGUCAGAUAUGAGACAAAAGAGAAAAUGAAAGACAUGAAAAGCAAGCAAUGUCCUCUUGAUAAGCCACAUUUAAUAGCAGAUACUCCAAAACCGUUGUAUCAUGUUACAGAAAUCAAUAACAAUUAUUUCUUUGGUGGAACUCUUAGUGGGUCUUAUGGUUUUGUAAUAACAGAUGAUAGAAAUAGAAAGCAAUAAAAUUACGAAAACAGUCCUUUCUAUAUGCUUCUACUGAGUUUUCAAGGAAAAAAAUAACCCAAAAAUAUUGCAUUUUACAUGGGGCAAUUUAUUAAUCACACAGUUUACAAGGAAACAAAGUCAUUUAUGUAAAAUGGAUGGUGAAGGGCCAUUGGAUGACUCUCAUGUUUCAUGCCGUUACCAAACAGAUUCUUCACUGGGAUACCUUCACGCUUCAUUGCUAUUACCUAACAGACGCUAUACUGGCAUUUCACCUAGACAUCAGCUAUUAGGUAUAACCUUGUUUGAUAAGAAAACAUAAAAAGGAAAGGGAUAUUCUGAAACUUUUAUAACUGCCUUAAUAUGUAAGAUGUUGCAUUUAGGGACAAGCUCAGAAAGCAAGGUUCAAAGAGAAAAUGUAAGUGACUGAGCAUAAUUAUAUGGGAAUAAAUAAUAGAGUUUUGAAAUUAAAGAAAUUUGUCAAAAUUAAACAAUAUAGUAACAUUGACAAGUUGGUUUGGCAGUAGAGAACUAUAGAUCAUAAAUGUAAACCUGUGGAUUCGUGAGUGCAAGAUAUAAAGGAGAUGCAGUGUGAAAAACACCAUCACAACCCUCAACCACAGCAUCAAAGGACCCCUCUUCUAAUAAGUUGGCUUUAUACAAAAGCAACCUCUCCGUGGCUCCCUCCAGAGCACGCAAGUGCUGAGUCUUCUUUUGAUCAGCUGACAAGAAUGAUUUCAAAAUAUUGAAAAGAAGACAAAAGAAUUAAGGUACAGAGGAAGUAUACAAAUAUAUAAUCUUAUAUCAUCAAUAUAAUUAUUAUAUUAAGGGUUCCAACAUGAUUUAAGUCAUCAAUAUUAAAGGAAGAUCAGAUUACAGUCAGGGUAAUUUAGGUUUCUUCCCACAAGAUAUAUCCAAUAAACCUGGUGUUUUAGGCAAAGGCUAUGAAUGUAAAGCAAUAGGCAAACAGAGUAGGAAUAUUUGCGUGCAUAUUUACAAUAAAAGAUUCUUUCAAGGAAACAAACAUCGAGCAGGAAAAUAUCAUGUAAAUCAGUUUUCCAUGGAUUGAUGCAAUUGAGCAGGAAAAUACUUCAAAACUACUACUCUCUUGUUUAUGCAAACUGUAGCCAAUUGAAAAAUAUUAAAUAAGUAUAUUCUUAUAAGCCCCCAUCUAAAUUUUAAGCCCAUUAAUCAGAAACUGUAAUCAUUUGCACAUUCAGGAUUGUUACUUGUUUUCAUUUCUAAUAGUCGGAUACUCAGCCGAAUGAUGAUUACCUUCAAUCUUUUUGCUCUGUUUUUUAAUUUUGAAAGUUACACACACCACAAACAGACAUCAUUUUGGAUAUACCCCAAGAACAGUUUCAUAUUUGAUCAAUUCAGAUCAUGAUGCAGAUGUGUGACUCACAACAUCCGGAAUAAAUAACAUAGGCUUCCCACUCCUUUGUUCUUAGAAUUCGAGCUCACGCAAUCAUCUUGUGGGAUUGCAAAAGGUCCGAAAACAUUUAGAAGGGAAGAGAUCCAAACGAUCGAGAGUGUGCUAGAUGAGUCGAAUCUACUCUUCAGAAGAAUACCGAGUUUAGCACGAACCAGGGUCACGCACGGAGGCGCGUACGGUGUAGCCGCGCUGGAGGAGGAGCUUCACAAGCCACGAGGCGAUGAAGCCGGACGCGCCCGUGACACAAACCACCUUCCCGCCGCCGCUCAUCGUGACCACAGCUCUCGCUCGGCCGGUCGCUGUUUUAGUGGAAGAGCAGGCAAAGGAUCGCAGUGGUCUGUCGAGAAGGCCGCUCCUCUGCGGCAUAAAUAGGGCGCCAAAGGCGGAAGAUAAUUAUCGGACGGCCAACUCCAUCCGCUGCUCUAACACUAACAUCACAUGACGUUACGAAUUACGACACCUGCCUGCGGCGGCACAUCGCAUCUUGCUUGUCGAGAUGGGUGAUAGUAUAAACGGAAAAGGGACAAUUCAAGUAAUCUUACCGCUUGUUUUGGACAUGAAUUUAACCAUGGAAUGAUCAGUCUGCUGACAGAGUGCCUAUCGCUAAACGCUCGUAAUCUUUUGUCAUGGUGUGCCUGUUGUGCGUGCAUUUUAUGAACUCCGAAGUCAACCCAGCUUGGGUGUUUUGGAUCCAGAAGGAAGAAGCAUGUUGCUCCUGCUGAGCUAUGCCCCAUUCUGGUAACACUUCACAAGAUAUUGAGGAGACAAAAGAUGGAUGAUUAUUCAACAUUUCCCCUGCUUAUUUCAAGUCCGUUCAUAUGUUUGGAUUCACAAGAUUUCACUUUGGUCACUGAUUCGGGUGCGAUCCUUCCAGCACAGAAAGACAAAACAAUGAAUCGAUCCAACCGAGAUGGCACUGAAUCAUGCUUUCGACAGGCCAUCAAUUUUGGGUCAGCCAUGACCGACGAUGUCGACUUCGAUGCGCUGUCAUGGUCGUUGUUCAGCUUGAUGAGUUUUGCAGUCGGAGUAAUAGGGUCUUUUUUCUUCUGUUGUCUGAAUCAAAUGUCAGAUGAGUUGGAGGAAUACAUCAGAAACCAAAUUGACUCAAAAAAAUUUACUUACUAAAGAGGGUUAAUCCAUUGAACUCACUAUUAAGUGACUUAUUCUUCAUCAAGAUAUCGAGAGUUUAAAAACUUCAUUCAGUAGUUUUUUUAAUAGCGAUCUUAAUUAUCGGUAUCAAUGUCCUAAAAUGAAAUCUUAUCUUCAUCACUUAUCUUUUUCUAAUAAAUUUACAAAAUUUUCAAAAAUAAGAAUAAAUUUUAUUUUUAUUGCUUCAAAGUUCUCUUCUUAUUUAUGUUUAGAUGACAUUUUCAUUUAGAAUGAAUAAUUGUCCAAUCCAUUUCUUUGAUUUUACUUCUCAUCCUCAUAGAGAUAUUUAGUUUGUGUAAUAUGAGGAUGGAACAAGAUAACAACUAACCACACUUAUAUUAUAUGAAGAACACAUUCCAAUAUAAACUUAUAAUCUAUCACACCAACAACAGGCAUGACACCAUAAUGGAGCACAAAUAUGUCCUCGUUUCUAAAAAACAAAUUGCAUGUGCUGAAAAGAUCAAUUACAGGAUUAUGCAAUGCAUGAUUUACUGCUUCAAAGUUCGACAAGCAUCGCCAUUGAUCUGGGAUGCAAAAUUAUUUAUUAUGCUAAUUCAAGUUUUAGAAAUUAAUAAAGUUCUUCUCCUUCAGGCUCUCGAUCGUUUCCUUGAUGCUUGUUUCCAGAGGGAUGUAGUAGAGGCCCAAGCUUUUAAACUUUUCCUUGGAGACUUUGUAUACCGGCACAAAGGGCUUGUCAUCUGCACACCUGCCAACGUUAUGGUCACAGCUUAGUACACCAAAAGGAGAUGGUAGCCACAGAAUGUACUAAAAUUACAGCUUCCUUUUAUAGAAUCAUUUCUUCAGCCAUUAGUGACCGAUGAACAAGCAAUGGCAAAGACCUCGAUACAAUGUACAUGGCAAGAAGAACAAGCUGGUCAUAGCCACUAAAUGAAUUAUACCAGAGGAAAGCUAUGCCAGCAUUACAGAAUGUUACUGACUAAUUUAUAUGGUGCACAUUAUCAGAUAUCAAUAUGAUCGGAUGUUCAGAAGUUCUAGAACUCUUUCAGUUCAAAACAAAAGUUAAGAACUAUGAACUUCGUACAGUAGAACUUAGCAGAACUCAGACGAAGAUAUGCUUUGAGAACCAUUCUCCUUGUGUCUUGCUGUUGUUGGGUCUUAUUGCUAUUUCAUUACUACUAUGUUUUUAAUUCUAGGAGAGAUGGUUAUAUGUAUCACUUAGAAUUGCACGGAUGACGAUAAAGAGAGUGAAAGUAAAGACAGAAGGAUAAUAAAUAAAAUAAAAUAAGUAAUUGCAUCAUCCAUUGGCCUAAUCUAAAGAACAGACAUUAUAGAAGCACACAACAAUGAGACCAUGGGGUAUGCCUAAUCUGGAACUUAGAUUUUAUAUCCUAUAUACAUCAAAAUUGCAAUUAUACAAAAUGCCUAAUAAUAAAACCAUAAGCCGUCGUGUUCCAAACAAAAUUAUUUGAAAUCAGUUAUAUGGAUCUUUCCCUAUCAUUAAGUCAUGUAUAAGAUAAUAAUUUUAGAUGAAUAAAAUAUCAUACAAAUCCUUUUUUAUUAUUACUACUAACAUCUUCUUAAGUCGUCCGCUAACCCUCUUUCCACCACAACUAUUAAUUGAGUCAUCUUUUCAAACUAUAACGUACGUGUUUACUUUGGACAUGUUCAUCUUAAUUUGGAUACUCCUCGUUUUAUAUUUUAUCGUAAACACACCUAAUUCUCUAUGAUUGAAGUCAUUUUUUUUUUAUCCUCCCUAAUAAUUUUGUAUGUUCAUCUCAGUUACUAAACUUUUUUGUACAUAUUCUUGCCAAACAAUCCAAUACUCAGAUUGGUAGCCACAAAACCACCAAUGCACCUACCAAUUUUAAUUAUCUAAUUUUUAUUUUAUAAACAAUGUCUUCAUCAAUCUCUCCAUGUUGUUCAACAAUAGAUCCAAGAUUUUUUUUAUUUUACAAUAAAGGCUAAGCACCAUUAAAAAAUUGCAAUACUAUGAGAAGCAUGAAACUUGAAAGAAAGAUCAGUAACCACCGAGCAAACUCUUCAGAUAUAACGGAUAGAAUUUUGUCAUCAAUCAACAAGACUAGUAGACACGGCACUUGGAUCACAAGACAAAAAAAGCAACCGAAAAUAGUAACUUACUUAUCAGGGAGUUGAAAAGAAGGAUAAAGUUCAUGUAUGAUCUUCAAAAUCUCUGAGUAAUGAACAACUCUUUCGACAAGACAGUAUCUUCCUGAUGCUGAGGGAAGUUCAAAAGCGAGAACAUGCGCCAUGGCAACAUCUUGAACAUUUACCCACCCAAAGGUUGCAUUAGGAAACGUGGAGGAACCUAAAGACAAAAAGAACAGAUAGCCAAAGUCAUAAUUCUCUUAUACGAACCAUUUUCUAGAAAAUAAUUACCAAGACUUGGAAGAAUCAAAACCAUUCUAGGAUAUAGAUCUCAACCAAAACAUUCAACACUGCACAUUGAGACAGCAGGCACUUUAAAUACAUUGACAGAACAUGAUCUUGAUAUGUCGUAUUGUUUGGUUGCCAGAAAAAUGAUAAAGUCAGCAUUAACAACAUAUUCUUCCCAUCCUCGACGUAGCCAUCAGGCUACACUUGCCUACUCCUAAGCAAUAAAUAUUUAAUUUUAAGAUUCAGUAUCCAAAAUCACAUCAUCACCAAGGUCCGCAAUACCGUACCGUACCGGAGUUUCGACCUGGGCUCGGUACCGGUAUGGUAUGGUAUACCGAGCGGUACACCCAGGUGUACCGCUCGGUAUAUUUAGGCGUGCCGACUGUAGCACUGCUACAGUGCUACAGUGCUGCGACAGUAUCUGGCAGAUCUAUUUGGCCAAAUGAGAAUAUCAUCAUCAAUUUGUACAGUUAUCUGGCAGCUAGAAUGGAAUGAUGCUAAUGGGCAAACAGAAACCAAGGCCUCAAUAUCUAACAGAGACAGCAUGAAAUCACUUGAUAACCAGCCAUCUAGUCAUUUACAACAAUAUCAUUUGCGAUUUAGAAGUUGUCAGGAUAUUAGAAAACUUCAUUUGAGACUGACAAAUUGCAGAGUAAAAGUUCCACACUAGGAUCAGAUUUGAAACAAAUUAAGAUUCAUACCAUUUAUUAGGUUCAGGAUUGCAGCAGAACUUGUGUUAAGUGUUGACUGCAGAAGAGGACCUGUGACCAUUCCUGGAUUUAUCGUGACUAUAUCUAUGCCAUUCUCUUU